This 459-nucleotide ribosomal RNA is filed under the name Phelsuma dorsivittata. RNAcentral describes it as "partial 16S ribosomal RNA". It matches the Rfam family "Bacterial large subunit ribosomal RNA", at positions 1954 to 2597 of the family's 2925-position model. The record is from RNAcentral. Lineage: Eukaryota; Metazoa; Chordata; Lepidosauria; Squamata; Gekkonidae.
AGGUAGCAUAAUCACUUGUCCCCUAAAUAGAGACUUGUAUGAACGGUUAAAUGAGGGCCUAACUGUCUCCUGCGGCCAAUCAAUGAAAUUGAUCUCACAGUACAAACGCUGUGAUGUAGUUAUAAGACGAGAAGACCCUGUGGAGCUUUAAACCUGCUACAUUAACUAUAAUUACCCUAACCAUUAUUAGCAUAAUGUAAGUUUUAAGUUGGGGCGACUAUGGAGUAAAAACUAACCUCCAUGCAACACGACUAAACCUCGUCAUACACGGCUAACAAGCCCAGUCAAAACACUCGACCCAGUCAAACUGACCACCGAACCAAGUUACCCCAGGGAUAACAGCGCCAUCCCCUUAAAGAGUUCACAUCGCCAAGGGGGUUUACGACCUCGAUGUUGGAUCAGGACACCCAAGUGGUGCAGCAGCUACUAAAGGUUCGUUUGUUCAACGAGUAAUGUCCU